CGGGCGGAAAUGACGAGGAUUAGAGCCGAAAAUAUCUGAACGGCAAGCGGCCCCCUCUGCUCCAGGGGUGCGUUGCCAGCGGGGACUCGGAAGGGAGCGAGAGGCGCCGCGAGAAAGCCCCUGUUCCUCUGGCUGCCGGGGAGUCACCGAGAGGAGAGGGCCAAGCCGUGCGGUCCCCGUCCCCUUCCCCUCCCUUCCCCUCCCUCAUCUCGGAGGAGGCGAGAGCGCGUGUGCGUGUGUGCCAGCUCCGGAGCCAGCGCGGUCCAGAGGCAGCAGCGAUCAACAUUCGGAUGCUGAGCAAAUGGGUCCUCCGAAAGAACCGUUGUUUCUUGGCUGCUGCUUGUUCAAUAGGUGAUGGAUGGGAGAAGAAGAUGAAGAACGAAAGGGGGGGGGAGAGACGAGAGAUGAUUACAUAUAUUUUCAAACUGUUGCAAUACAAGGAGUCUUGUCUUUUGCUCAUAUGAACUCUUUCCCAGGUAGAUGCUGUCCCUGGAGAAUAUCUUUCCGGACAGAGCCUGUUGCUGCGAUUUAACAUUAAUUUCAUUGCAAUAGCUUACUAAAAGUAGGAUGAGGGAAGAUUGCUUCUUGAAGUGCCAGCAACACCUUUUACUGCAAGCCAAUUGCCUGCCCCUUCCUGUGUUAAGACAGAAGACUUGUCAAUUUCAGUGAGACUGACUUACAUUAAAUUAUAGCAGUUAGUUUUUAAGGUACCACAAGUCUCUCCCACCCUUUUUUGUUGUUCUUGUUUUGUUUUGUUUUGUGUUUCUUGUUGGAAUGACUUUCCUAAAAGGUUCUAUUAGAUCAGGGAGAAGAGGAGGCUUGAUCAAAGAUGAACAAGGAUAGAGGACUGAAAAGUAGAAGUGAUAAUAUUAGAAGGCAGUUUGCGCAGCAGGAAACAUGAACACUUGGAAAAUAUGCUCAGAAGGAAACUGCAAAGCUGUUGCAAAGAGAAGAGGAAGAAGCCGCAAUAAAUAGUGAAGGUUUUACUCAAAGGGCAAAGCAUGGUGGGAAUGACUGCUGGAAGAAGAAAAUAAAGCCUCUCUGCUUUUCCCUGA
Long non-coding RNA from Pogona vitticeps (central bearded dragon), 1055 nucleotides. RefSeq lists it as uncharacterized. The record is from RefSeq and is a predicted model, not a curated record. Lineage: Eukaryota; Metazoa; Chordata; Lepidosauria; Squamata; Agamidae.